AACGAACGCUGGCGGCAUGCCUAACACAUGCAAGUCGAACGAGAUCUUCGGGUCUAGUGGCGCACGGGUGCGUAACGCGUGGGAAUCUGCCCUUUGGUUCGGAAUAACAGUUGGAAACGACUGCUAAUACCGGAUGAUGACGAAAUGCCACAGAUUUAUCGCCAGAGGAUGAGCCCGCGUAGGAUUAGCUAGUUGGGGUGGUAAAGGCGCACCAAGGCGACGAUCCUUAGCUGGUCUGAGAGGAUGAUCAGCCACACGGGGACUGAGACACGGCCCAGACUCAUACGGGAGGCAGCAGUGGGGAAUAUUGGACAAUGGGCGAAAGCCUGAACCAGCAAUGCCGCGUGAGUGAUGAAGGCCUUAGGGUUGUAAAGCUCUUUUACCCGGGAUGAUAAUGACAGUACCGGGAGAAUAAGCUCCGGCUAACUCCGUGCCAGCCGCCGCAGUAA
This 449-nucleotide ribosomal RNA is filed under the name uncultured bacterium. RNAcentral's name for it is "partial 16S ribosomal RNA". It matches the Rfam family "Bacterial small subunit ribosomal RNA", at positions 29 to 523 of the family's 1533-position model. The record is from RNAcentral.